This 497-nucleotide ribosomal RNA is filed under the name uncultured bacterium. RNAcentral's name for it is "partial 16S ribosomal RNA". It matches the Rfam family "Bacterial small subunit ribosomal RNA", at positions 28 to 507 of the family's 1533-position model. The record is from RNAcentral.
GAUGAACGCUGGCGGCGUGCCUAAUACAUGCAAGUCGAGCGAACGGACGAUAAGCUUGCUUCUCUGAUGUUAGCGGCGGACGGGUGAGUAACACGUUGAUAACCUACCUAUAAUACUGGGAUAACUUCGGGAAACCGGAGCUAAUACCGGAUAAUAUUUUUAACCGCAUUUUUCAACAUUUAAAUACGUUCUUUCUUUCACUUAUAGAUGGAUCCGCGCUGCAUUAGCUAGUUGGUAAGGUAACGGCUUACCAAGGCAACGAUGAAUAGCCGACAUGAGAGGGUGAUCGGCCAAACUGGAACUGAGAAACGGUCAAGACUCCUACGGGAGGAAGCAGUAGGGAAUAGUCCGCAAUGGGCGAAAGCAUGACGGAGCAACGCCGCGUGAGUGAUGAAGGUCUUCGGAUCGUAAAACUCUGUUAUUAGGGAAGAACAUAUGUGUAAGUAACUGUGCACAUAUUGACGGUACCUAAUCAGAAAGCCACGGCUAACUACGUG